UACGGGGGGAGCAAGCGUUGUUCGGAUUUACCGGGCGUAAAGGGCGCGUAGGCGGCCACCGCAAGUCGACUGUGAAAUCUCCGGGCUUAACCCGGAAAGGUCAGCCGAUACUGCGGGGCUAGAGUGCAGAAGGGGCAACUGGAAUUCUCGGUGUAGCGGUGAAAUGCGUAGAUAUCGAGAGGAACACCUGCGGCGAAGGCGGGUUGCUGGGCUGACACUGACGCUGAUGCGCGAAAGCUAGGGGAGCGAACGGG
This 254-nucleotide ribosomal RNA is filed under the name uncultured bacterium. RNAcentral describes it as "partial 16S ribosomal RNA". It matches the Rfam family "Bacterial small subunit ribosomal RNA", at positions 524 to 776 of the family's 1533-position model. The record is from RNAcentral.